Molecule: ribosomal RNA, 230 nt
Filed under: uncultured bacterium
Lineage: Bacteria
Description: partial 16S ribosomal RNA
Rfam family: Bacterial small subunit ribosomal RNA
Source: RNAcentral
AAAGCGUCCGUAGGUGGUUGUCCAAGUCAGUUGUUAAAGCGUAGAGCUUAACUCUAUAACGGCAAUUGAAACUGGAAGACUAGAGUGCGAUAGGGGCAAGGGGAAUUCCCAGUGUAGCGGUGAAAUGCGUAGAUAUUGGGAAGAACAUCGGUGGCGAAGGCGCCUUGCUGGGUCUGCACUGACACUGAGGGACGAAAGCUAGGGGAGCGAAAGGGAUUAGAUACCCUAGU